This 492-nucleotide ribosomal RNA is filed under the name uncultured bacterium. RNAcentral's name for it is "partial 16S ribosomal RNA". It matches the Rfam family "Bacterial small subunit ribosomal RNA", at positions 29 to 507 of the family's 1533-position model. The record is from RNAcentral.
AGUGAACGCUGGCGGUAGGCCUAACACAUGCAAGUCGAACGGCAGCACAGUAAGAGCUUGCUCUUACGGGUGGCGAGUGGCGGACGGGUGAGGAAUACAUCGGAAUCUACUUUUUCGUGGGGGAUAACGUAGGGAAACUUACGCUGAUACCGCAUACGACCUACGGGUGAAAGCAGGGGAUCUUCGGACCUUGCGCGAUUGAAUGAGCCGAUGUCGGAUUAGCUAGUUGGCGGGGUAAAGGCCCACCAAGGCGACGAUCCGUAGCUGGUCUGAGAGGAUGAUCAGCCACACUGGAACUGAGACACGGUCCAGACUCCUACGGGAGGCAGCAGUGGGGAAUAUUGGACAAUGGGCGCAAGCCUGAUCCAGCCAUACCGCGUGGGUGAAGAAGGCCUUCGGGUUGUAAAGCCCUUUUGUUGGGAAAGAAAAGCAGCAGGUUAAUACCCCGCUGUUCUGACGGUGCCCAAAGAAUAAGCACCGGCUAACUUCGUG